CCCAGUAUCUAACAGGAAGUAGAUUUCCGUUGCAUGAGAAGCUGCUUUCGCUCUCGGCACCAUCACAUCUGCUCCCAGGGGGCCGGGAAGGGGCAUGUUUGGAAGAAGAAUCCAGUGCAGAUUUAUAGUUGAACCAGACAAACUGGAACGGAUUUCUUGCUGCCAUUGUUUCCAUGUACAACAAACUACGGUACAUUUACACAUUUAUUCAGUGACAAUCAAGUUCUUCUGGAACCUCCUCAUAACAAUCCCCACCCAGAAGUUCCAGGUGCCACGUGGAACUGCUGAAUGAGGAGCCUGGGGAGGAGAAAAGCAGAGAAAUGUUCUGUACUGACCCGUCCCAGAGGCACAGAGGGAAUGGGCCACAAACACAGGAUUAAAGGCCCCCCUAACCCCACACCCAUACAUGGGCCCCCACCCACUUCUAGGUAACUCCACCCCUGUUUGGCCAAGGACUUGGACUGUCCCACCUAAACUAUAGGGAGUUAUACAGGGGGGAGUGGGGCCAGAAACUGAUCCAGAAGCAGAACCGACCCAAACACAGAGACUGAGGAGCUGCACCUGAAAGGGAAGA
Long non-coding RNA from Xenopus tropicalis (tropical clawed frog), 574 nucleotides. RefSeq lists it as uncharacterized. The record is from RefSeq and is a predicted model, not a curated record. The transcript is spliced from 3 exons. Lineage: Eukaryota; Metazoa; Chordata; Amphibia; Anura; Pipidae.